This 573-nucleotide ribosomal RNA is filed under the name uncultured Cadophora. Its description in RNAcentral is "eukaryotic LSU rRNA". The stretch from base 196 to 349 matches the Rfam family "5.8S ribosomal RNA". The record is from RNAcentral. Lineage: Eukaryota; Fungi; Ascomycota; Leotiomycetes; Helotiales.
UUCCGUAGGUGAACCUGCGGAAGGAUCAUUAAAGAAUCGCCCCGUUUUUUGAAAUGGGUUCUAUUCCCAAACCGUGUAUACAUACCUUUGUUGCUUUGGCAGGCCGCCUUUUAGGCGUCGGCUUCGGCUGACUGCGCCUGCCAGAGGACCCAAACUCGUUUGUUUAGUGAUGUCUGAGUACUAUAUAAUAGUUAAAACUUUCAACAACGGAUCUCUUGGUUCUGGCAUCGAUGAAGAACGCAGCGAAAUGCGAUAAGUAAUGUGAAUUGCAGAAUUCAGUGAAUCAUCGAAUCUUUGAACGCACAUUGCGCUCGCCAGUAUUCUGGCGAGCAUGCCUGUUCGAGCGUCAUUUCAACCAUCAAGCUCUGCUUGCGUUGGGGAUCCGCGGCUGUCCGCGGUCCCUCAAAAUCAGUGGCGGGCUCGCUAGUCACACCGAGCGUAGUAACUCUACAUCGCUAUGGUCGUGCGGCGGGUUCUUGCCGUAAAACCCCCCAUUUCUAAGGUUGACCUCGGAUCAGGUAGGAAUACCCGCUGAACUUAAGCAUAUCAAUAAGCGGAGGAAAAGAAACCAAC